UCGAGUACAAUAAACGGUACACUUGACAACACUACAAUAGUAAUUUGCUGAGCAAGUUGAAAGGACUGCUGGGUAAUAUAUGCUUCUGUGUUAAUGAUCCAUACCCUGUAUAUGAUGACUCAGGUCUCUGAUCCUUGUGAGGAUAACUUGACCCACACUGAUACAGACAAAAUAACAUUUGGUUAUUAAACAUGACAUUUUGUUUGGAAACGUAAUGUGCUUUUUUUGGGGGGGUUUUUUUCAUACAGCUGUCCACAUUCUUAAGGUAAGUCUCCAUAGUUUGAGCUUGUAAUGCGUGUGGUUUUUAUUGUUUGUUUUUAACCGGCAAGUGAAAAUGCUUUUGUAACCAAUGAUGAAAACGAUUCUGCCAUAUGAUUCACACUGAUAUAAUCACUUACCGUUCCACUUUUUUUCUGAGGUUACAUUAUUAAAUUGCAAAAAGGAUAACAUUUAGGUGCAGACAAAUCUUGUGUUUUAUGGAAUACUCUGAAAUGUUGAGCAUCUUAGUGUGAAAACGGCUUUCCUAAGUGGAGCUGAAAGUGAUGCAUUAAAGGGACAUGAAACAGAUUCUGUGUUGGUAAACCCAUAUAUUUUCAUUACCACUCAAAUAAGAUGUGUGAUUAUGUUCUAGGUUGAAGAAUAACGGCAUUUCAAAUUCAAACCUAAAGGAACAAAUAUAUAGUAAUGUUGCUUUUUUACAUGCAUCUUUGAAAUUAGAUCAUGGUUUCUAGUAGAUGGUUGUACAGCUGACUCUGAUCUGCAAACCUCAUCGCAGAUUUUAAAUCAUAUUGAUGAAUGCCCCCUUAGCAAUUGGUCACCAGCACUGCUAAUAAUUGAUCAAACUUUUAAGGAUAAAGCUUUUUUUUUUUUUUCCCCAUGUAAUUUUGCUUUGGUCCCCUUAGCAAUGCUAACCAACAAAGUAGUUUGCACACUAGUGACUGACAAAUGCUCCUCAUGAGGGUAACUUGGGUUUCAACAUGGCAAUAUCAUUACCUUACAUUUCUAUCGUAGAAACUAACUUUGUAAAUUUGAAAUGUAUUUAUAUUCGGACAAAUCUGAAUUUCUUUUAUGGCCCUUUAAGCUUAGACUCUCAGACAGGCUAAAGAAUACAGAUCUGCUGGAGUGCAUGUUUUCUAAUAAGAACUUAGAUGUUACCAGUUUGGUGUAGCAAUGUACUAUUUGUAUGUAAAGUUACUUUAAAGCUCAGCAAUGGUGACCUAUGUGAGCUGUAAUGUAGAACUGUUUUGGAAUAGAUCUGAAUUAAACUAUUGUGCACUUUUUCUUUCCAGGCAUUAUACUUUAUGAGAAAGUGAGUUGAUAUCCAGUGCAUGUGAAGAUCCAAUACUAGUUCCUGUGGAGCAGAUGCCUAGAACUACCUGACACGACUUGUUGCAAAAAAAACCUUGUUCUGCAACAUUAAAUAAAAUAUGACUUCUGAAACAGUUA
This is a long non-coding RNA of Bombina bombina (fire-bellied toad), 1446 nucleotides long. RefSeq lists it as uncharacterized. The record is from RefSeq and is a predicted model, not a curated record. NCBI's taxonomy places the organism in Eukaryota, Metazoa, Chordata, Amphibia, Anura, Bombinatoridae. The transcript has 2 exons.